AGGGAUCAUUACUGAGUUGCCGCUCUAUAACCCUUUGUGAACAUACCUAACCGUUGCUUCGGCGGGCAGGGGAAGCCUCUCGCGGGCCUCCCCUCCCGGCGCCGGCCCCCACCACGGGGACGGGGCGCCCGCCGGAGGAAACCAAACUCUAUUUACACGACGUCUCUUCUGAGUGGCACAAGCAAAUAAUUAAAACUUUUAACAACGGAUCUCUUGGUUCUGGCAUCGAUGAAGAACGCAGCGAAAUGCGAUAAGUAAUGUGAAUUGCAGAAUUCAGUGAAUCAUCGAAUCUUUGAACGCACAUUGCGCUCGCCAGCAUUCUGGCGAGCAUGCCUGUUCGAGCGUCAUUUCAACCCUCAAGCACCGCUUGGUUUUGGGGCCCCACGGCACACGUGGGCCCUUAAAGGUAGUGGCGGACCCUCCCGGAGCCUCCUUUGCGUAGUAACUAACGUCUCGCACUGGGAUCCGGAGGGACUCUUGCCGUAAAACCCCCAAAUUUUUUACAGGUUGACCUCGGAUCAGGUAGGAAUACCCGCUGAA
This 540-nucleotide ribosomal RNA is filed under the name Colletotrichum scovillei. RNAcentral's name for it is "eukaryotic LSU rRNA". The stretch from base 194 to 347 matches the Rfam family "5.8S ribosomal RNA". The record is from RNAcentral. Lineage: Eukaryota; Fungi; Ascomycota; Sordariomycetes; Glomerellales; Glomerellaceae.